Nelumbo nucifera (sacred lotus) is the source of this 527-nucleotide non-coding RNA. Lineage: Eukaryota; Viridiplantae; Streptophyta; Magnoliopsida; Proteales; Nelumbonaceae. The record is from RefSeq and is a predicted model, not a curated record.
CCCAAUUCUCCCUCCAUCUCUUUUCCACUCUUCAUCUUCGACUCAGAAUUAGAACACCAUCACCGAGUUCGACUUUGCGGAGGAACACCGUCUUCGACUGAAGUUAUUCAGUAAAAGUCAGCAUAGGUCGAGUAAGAUAAGGGCGUUGUGGUCGAACAAGUCAAAUAGGAAAGACAGGAUCGGGCUUGGACGUUCUCCAGGCCAUAAGCUUUGAAUGGCAGAAUAUAUGAUCACAAAAGAUAUUCAAUCUUAGGUUAGUCUAUGUAUUUGAAGUUUGUAGAAGUUAGAAAUCCCUCAUCGUGGUUUCCCCUUUUUCUCUGGUUUUUUAAACAAAAUUUAAUUCUUGUGAAAAAAAAGAAAAAAACUAGCUUCUUUGAGUAGAUCGUGUUUGACUUUAAUCAUCACAUUUUUUUUUUACUUUAAUCAUCACUUGAUUAUUUCUUUUACACAAAGAUAUUGGUAGGAAGUGGAAGUUUUUUUGGACAUGGGAUGGUAUUGGGAAUAGUGUCUAGAAGUAGUAGUAGACC